Long non-coding RNA from Acanthochromis polyacanthus (spiny chromis), 1200 nucleotides. RefSeq lists it as uncharacterized. The record is from RefSeq and is a predicted model, not a curated record. The transcript is spliced from 2 exons. NCBI's taxonomy places the organism in Eukaryota, Metazoa, Chordata, Actinopteri, Pomacentridae.
AGACAAACAAAAGCCCACGAAGAAGAAUCAGCGAGAGGGUGGAGGAGCUUUCCGACAUGGCAGACAGGUCUCAGCCACGUCAGAGGAGGUCUGGGUUGAGUUUCCUUCAUUUUGGAGCGUCCUCCUCAUGGUCUUCAGCCACCAGCCUGGUCUGCACCGUGGGAUGAGGUAGUAGGUUGUAUAGUUUUAGGGUCACACCCGCACUGGGAGAUAACUAUUCAACCUACUGUCUUUCUCAAGGUGCCACUCGUACGUCUGUGUAUUCUGGAGACCGUCCUCUUCUUCUACAUCUUUGUUUAAAUGCAUCCAGAUGUUGCUUCCAUCGGCCGUUUCUGCUCCAGCUGCUCACACAGUGUGAGGUAGUAGAUUGUAUAGUUUUAGGGUAGUUAUUUUGCCCUGUUUAGGAGAUAACUAUACAAUCUAUUGCCUUCCCUGAGGAGUGGAAUCUCUUCGUCUUGUGGUUCUAUAAAAAUGGUUCAUACGUCAUUUUUGAUUUCAGUUUUGUAAACAGCUGUAAUGGCUGAACUUUGACUAUAUUUCCACACUUCUAAAAGGAUGUGUGCUGAAGUCAGAUGUUUAGUAUAAAGUCUGUUGUUAUUGCAAUGUGCAGUGAUUAUUCAAAUGUUUAUCCCUCCAUUUUAUCAUUGUUGUAUUCCUUGCAGUUUCUAAAAACGGUUUUAGUUAAAACGGUAAAGUUUAAAGUAUCGUCACCGUGCAUUCAGAAUGGCUGCUAUAGUAGUUAUAAUGUGGGAUUAUUUCUGAUGCAACCCCAUGUAAGCAGCAUUUUAUCGUAGCUAAGGUGGACCUAUGUGUCAUUUUGCAAAGUUUAGCUUCUUGUGUGGACAUCUAGAUCAAGGACACUUGCUUCUAAAUUCCCGAGUACAAAAUUUUGUCCAUUUUUUUCGAGGUUUCGUUUUGUAAUUGUGCCUCUUGAUGACAGCUUGGAAACAACCGCUACAUACUGCACUGGUUCAUUCACUUCAGAUGAUGGUAGUUCUAUAGUUUUACCAGCAGAUGGUGUUAAAGUCCUUCUACAACCCAAUCCUUCCUCCAAACACAGAGCGCCACCAGGAAUCUUUAAUUGCACAUAAAUACUGAGAAAAUCUGUUCCUUAAUGAGUCUCUGCAGCUGUUGUGUAAUAAAUGUAUUAUUGUUGAACCAGACUGACACUUGGUGUUAAUAAAUAGAGCUUUCAUAAUA